This 166-nucleotide small nuclear RNA is filed under the name Cebus imitator (Panamanian white-faced capuchin). RNAcentral describes it as "U1 spliceosomal RNA (ENSCCAG00000006823.1)". It matches the Rfam family "U1 spliceosomal RNA", at positions 8 to 156 of the family's 166-position model. From Rfam's summary of the family: U1 is a small nuclear RNA (snRNA) component of the spliceosome (involved in pre-mRNA splicing). Lineage: Eukaryota; Metazoa; Chordata; Mammalia; Primates; Cebidae. The record is from RNAcentral.
AAAUCCUGAGAAUACAACUGUGAUCAAAACAGCCUAACUUGGCUUAUCCAUUCCACUCCGGAUGUGCUGACCCCUGCGAUUUCCCCAAAUGCGGGAAACUUGACUGCAUAAUUUGUGGUAGUGGGGGACUGUGUUUGAGGGGGAAAAAAAACAAUAAAACAGCCUA